AGUAGCGGCGAGCGAACGGGGAGGAGCCCAGAGCCUGAAUCAGCAUGUGUGUUAGUGGAAGCGUCUGGAAAGGCGCGCGAUACAGGGUGACAGCCCCGUACACAAAAGCGCAUGUGCUGUGAGCUCGAUGAGUAGGGCGGGACACGUGGUAUCCUGUCUGAAUAUGGGGGGACCAUCCUCCAAGGCUAAAUACUCCUGACUGACCGAUAGUGAACCAGUACCGUGAGGGAAAGGCGAAAAGAACCCCGGCGAGGGGAGUGAAAAAGAACCUGAAACCGUGUACGUACAAGCAGUGGGAGCACCCUUUGGGUGUGACUGCGUACCUUUUGUAUAAUGGGUCAGCGACUUAUAUUCUGUAGCAAGGUUAACCGAAUAGGGGAGC
This 382-nucleotide ribosomal RNA is filed under the name Salmonella enterica. Its description in RNAcentral is "partial 23S ribosomal RNA". It matches the Rfam family "Bacterial large subunit ribosomal RNA", at positions 242 to 666 of the family's 2925-position model. Lineage: Bacteria; Pseudomonadati; Pseudomonadota; Gammaproteobacteria; Enterobacterales; Enterobacteriaceae. The record is from RNAcentral.